GUGGGGAAUCUUGCGCAAUGGGCGAAAGCCUGACGCAGCCAUGCCGCGUGAAUGAUGAAGGUCUUAGGAUUGUAAAAUUCUUUCACCGGGGACGAUAAUGACGGUACCCGGAGAAGAAGCUCCGGCUAACUUCGUGCCAGCAGCCGCGGUAAUACGAAGGGGGCUAGCGUUGCUCGGAAUUACUGGGCGUAAAGGGCGCGUAGGCGGACAGUUUAGUCAGAGGUGAAAGCCCAGGGCUCAACCUUGGAAUUGCCUUUGAUACUGGCUGUCUGGAGUACGGGAGAGGUGAGUGAAACUCCGAGUGUAGAGGUGAAAUUCGUAGAUAUUCGGAAGAACACCAGUGGCGAAGGCGACUCACUGGCCCGUUACUGACGCUGAGGCGCGAAAGCGUGGGGAGCAAACAGGAUUAGAAACCCGUGUAGUCC
RNAcentral lists this ribosomal RNA (425 nucleotides) under uncultured bacterium. RNAcentral describes it as "partial 16S ribosomal RNA". It matches the Rfam family "Bacterial small subunit ribosomal RNA", at positions 354 to 796 of the family's 1533-position model. The record is from RNAcentral.